GGAAUUUUGGACAAUGGGGGCAACCCUGAUCCAGCCAUACCGCGUGAGUGAAGAAGGCCUUCGGGUUGUAAAGCUCUUUCAGCCGGAAAGAAAACGCACAGGCUAAUAUCCUGUGUGGAUGACGGUACCGGAAGAAGAAGCACCGGCUAACUACGUGCCAGCAGCCGCGGUAAUACGUAGGGUGCGAGCGUUAAUCGGAAUUACUGGGCGUAAAGCGUGCGCAGGCGGCUUUUUAAGCCAGAUGUGAAAUCCCCGGGCUUAACCUGGGAACUGCAUUUGGAACUGGAAGGCUAGAGUGUAGCAGAGGGGGGUAGAAUUCCACGUGUAGCAGUGAAAUGCGUAGAGAUGUGGAGGAAUACCGAUGGCGAAGGCAGCCCCCUGGGCUAACACUGACGCUCAUGCACGAAAGCGUGGGGAGCAAACA
RNAcentral lists this ribosomal RNA (424 nucleotides) under uncultured bacterium. Its description in RNAcentral is "bacterial SSU rRNA". It matches the Rfam family "Bacterial small subunit ribosomal RNA", at positions 358 to 774 of the family's 1533-position model. The record is from RNAcentral.